UCCAAGGCCAUUAUGAACUUUACCCUGGUUUAAGGUGGAAUCACUCCAACAGCAUUAUGAACUUUACCCUGGUUUAAGGUGGAAUCACUCCAAGGCCCUUAUGAACUUUACCCUGAUUUAAGGUGGAAUCACUCCAACAGCAGUAUGAACUUUACCCUGGUUUAAGGUGGAACCACUCCAACAGCAGUAUGAACUUUACCCUGGUUUAAGGUGGAAUCACUCCAAGGCCAUUAUGAACUUUACCCUGGUUUAAGGUGGAAUCACUCCAACAGCAUUAUGAACUUUACCCUGGUUUAAGGUGGAAUCACUCCAAGGCCAUUAUGAACUUUACCCUGGUUUAAGGUGGAAUCACUCCAACAGCAUUAUGAACUUUACCCUGGUUUAAGGUGGAAUCACUCCAAGGCCCUUAUGAACUUUACCCUGGUUUAAGGUGGAAUCACUCCAACAGCAUUAUGAACUUUACCCUGGUUUAAGGUGGAACCACUCCAACAGCAGUAUGAACUUUACCCUGGUUUAAGGUGGAAUCACUCCAAGGCCAUUAUGAACUUUACCCUGGUUUAAGGUGGAAUCACUCCAACAGCAUUAUGAACUUUACCCUGGUUUAAGGUGGAAUCACUCCAACAGCAUUAUGAACUUUACCCUGGUUUAAGGUGGAAUCACUCCAACAGCAUUAUGAACUUUACCCUGGUUUAAGGUGGAAUCACUCUAAGGCCCUUAUGAACUUUACCCUGGUUUCAUGUGAAUCACUCCAACUAUACCACAAUGCAACAUGUUUUAGUGAGACAGCCAAUGCUAAUUCUCUUGGGCUGAGUUCCAAAUAGCUCCCUAUUCCCUAAAGAAUAUAUUUUGAUUUAACACUUGUUUGGUUCCAUAUGUGUUAUUUCAUAGUUUUGAUGUCUUCACUAUUAUUCUACAAUGUAGAAAAUAGUCCAAAUAAAGAAAACCCCUUGAAUGAGUAGGUGUGUCCAAACUUUUGACUGGUACUGUUGAUCUCUAACAAAGGGGUCGUGGAAAAGGUCUGUUGAAAUGAAUACUGUAGUGGUGUGUGAAAGGUAACACAAGCUUCCUCUCUGGUUCCAUUCCCCCAAUAGUAACUGGGUCAUUAUUGGAUGGUGAAUGUCAUGCUGUCCCUGGACUGUAGCACCACAUAAAAAAAUGACAAAUACAUUUAUUUAACUGUUAUUUAAUAAGAAACCUAUGUAAAUCCUUUAUACUGAUAAACAUAUAUUUGUACAGAUUGUAGACAAUACUGGUGCCUAGAUAAAUGGGCCUCUUCCAAUGGUGAUGUGUAGAGAUCUAGUGACAUGUUUUGACUAGAUAAAUAAACAUUAUUUUGAAUACCAUGAA
Molecule: long non-coding RNA, 1347 nt
Organism: Oncorhynchus tshawytscha (Chinook salmon)
Lineage: Eukaryota; Metazoa; Chordata; Actinopteri; Salmoniformes; Salmonidae
Source: Ensembl